This 397-nucleotide ribosomal RNA is filed under the name uncultured bacterium. RNAcentral's name for it is "partial 16S ribosomal RNA". It matches the Rfam family "Bacterial small subunit ribosomal RNA", at positions 523 to 918 of the family's 1533-position model. The record is from RNAcentral.
AUACGUAGGGGGCGAGCGUUGUCCGGAAUGAUUGGGCGUAAAGGGCGCGUAGGCGGCCCGGUAAGUCUGGAGUGAAAGUCCUGUUUUUAAGAUGGGAAUUGCUUUGGAUACUGUCGGGCUUGAGUGCAGGAGAGGUAAGUGGAAUUCCCAGUGUAGCGGUGAAAUGCGUAGAGAUUGGGAGGAACACCAGUGGCGAAGGCGACUUACUGGACUGUAACUGACGCUGAGGCGCGAAAGUGUGGGGAGCAAACAGGAUUAGAUACCCUGGUAGUCCACACUGUAAACGAUGAAUGCUAGGUGUAGGGGGUAUCGACCCCUUCUGUGCCGCAGUCAACACAAUAAGCAUUCCGCCUGGGGAGUACGGCCGCAAGGUUGAAACUUAAAGGAAUUGGCGGGG